RNAcentral lists this ribosomal RNA (253 nucleotides) under uncultured bacterium. Its description in RNAcentral is "partial 16S ribosomal RNA". It matches the Rfam family "Bacterial small subunit ribosomal RNA", at positions 524 to 776 of the family's 1533-position model. The record is from RNAcentral.
UACGUAGGGUGCAAGCGUUGUCCGGAAUUAUUGGGCGUAAAGAGCUCGUAGGCGGUUUGUCGCGUCUGCUGUGAAAACUCGGGGCUUAACCCCGGGCCUGCAGUGGGUACGGGCAGACUAGAGUGCGGUAGGGGAGAAUGGAAUUCCUGGUGUAGCGGUGAAAUGCGCAGAUAUCAGGAGGAACACCGGUGGCGAAGGCGGUUCUCUGGGCCUUACCUGACACUGAGGAGCGAAAGCGUGGGGAGCAAACAGG